Molecule: unclassified non-coding RNA, 345 nt
Filed under: soil metagenome
Description: partial contains 5.8S ribosomal RNA, internal transcribed spacer 2, and large subunit ribosomal RNA
Rfam family: 5.8S ribosomal RNA (bases 1-120)
Source: RNAcentral
GAUGAAGAACGCAGCGAAAUGCGAUACGUAAUGUGAAUUGCAGAAUUCAGUGAAUCAUCGAGUCUUUGAACGCACAUUGAGCCCCCUGGUAUUCCGGGGGGCAUGCCUGUCCGAGCGUCAUUGCUGCCCUCAAGCACGGCUUGUGUGUUGGGCCUCCGUCCUCCUCCCGGGGGACGGGCCCGAAAGGCAGCGGCGGCACCGCGUCCGGUCCUCGAGCGUAUGGGGCUUCGUCACCCGCUCUUGUAGGCCCGGCCGGCGCUUGCCGACACAUCAAUCUUUUUUCCAGGUUGACCUCGGAUCAGGUAGGGAUACCCUCUGAACUUAAGCAUAUCAAUAAGCGGAGGA